RNAcentral lists this ribosomal RNA (228 nucleotides) under Typhlops sp. SBH-2014a. Its description in RNAcentral is "partial 12S ribosomal RNA". It matches the Rfam family "Bacterial small subunit ribosomal RNA", at positions 866 to 1213 of the family's 1533-position model. Lineage: Eukaryota; Metazoa; Chordata; Lepidosauria; Squamata; Typhlopidae. The record is from RNAcentral.
GGCCCGCCAGAUUACUACAAGUAAAAACUUAAAACUCAAAGGACUUGACGGUGUCCCAUACACAACCUAGAGGAGCCUGUCCUAUAAUCGAUGAUCCACGAAGAACCUCACCACCCUUUGCCUAACAACCUAUAUACCGCCGUCGAAAGUUCACCUUGUGAGAGAGAAAAAGUGAACAUAAUAGCUCAACACUAACACGUCAGGUCAGGGUGUAUUUUAUGGGGGGGC